This is a long non-coding RNA of Mobula hypostoma (lesser devil ray), 680 nucleotides long. RefSeq lists it as uncharacterized. The record is from RefSeq and is a predicted model, not a curated record. The transcript is spliced from 3 exons. NCBI's taxonomy places the organism in Eukaryota, Metazoa, Chordata, Chondrichthyes, Myliobatiformes, Myliobatidae.
UAGAUCUGUCUCAAAUGUCUUUGACUGCAGUGUGUGAUUUAGAUGUACAUUGAAACAUUUUUUUAAAAAAUCUAAAAUUUUAAAAAUGGGUUUGGAAACAGCUGACAUGUCAGUUAAGGUUCUCACUUGAAGCCCUAAAGUCAGACCUGAAAAUUCUAGGCCUUUGAUCAAAAUAGCAGGAUAAGCCUGCACAGAAUUUCUGCUACCUCAAAAGGAAGAAUAGUAAGCAACAAGAUGAGGACCACUGGGAUCACUACUGAGAGAUGGUCCCAUCAUAGCUGACCCUGUCUGCAGUUAUCAUUGUCUCAUGGUUUCUCCCAAUCAUAUUUCUCUUCAGACCACCCCAUUCUCUAGAUACAGUGAGGAUAGGCCCUCCAAGCCGCGCUGCACAGCAAUCCCACAAUUUAACCCUAGCCUCAUCAUGGGACAGUUUACAACGGCCAUUUAAUCUACUAGCCAAUGCAUCUGUGGACUGCAGGAGGAAACCAGAGCACCCAGAGGAAACCCACAUGCAUGGGAAGGGGCAUACAAACUUGCUUACCGAGCUUGCCCAAAAGCUUCUCAGUUUUUCCACAACAGGUGUCACACCACCUGAAUCUGGCUAUUUUAUAGGUUAGUUGUUAUCACUGAAAUGUUGUCAUCUCCAGUCUGAGUAUUAAAUGACUAUAGCUUUUAUUGUC